This 1592-nucleotide long non-coding RNA is filed under the name Sus scrofa (pig). RNAcentral describes it as "lncRNA (ENSSSCG00000052340.1)". The record is from RNAcentral. Lineage: Eukaryota; Metazoa; Chordata; Mammalia; Artiodactyla; Suidae.
AAUCUGCUGCAGGAGAGAGUUAGAACCAUCUUCGUAUUUAAUGGGCCUCCGAAAGCAUCCUCUAUUCUCUUUGCAGAAAGGAAACCCAUCCCUGCCAUUCUAGUCACUGGGUCCAGUGGCUCAAACCUUAUCUCUACGCUGGCCUGUGGAUUUCGGCAUGUUCGCUCUGACUUCCCAAUACUCUGCCUUUCUUCAUGAAGAGAACAUGGAAGAAGAAAGAACUGCUGAGUUACAGAAAAACAUGACACAGGUGAGUAAUAGCUAAUAAUUCUCCAAAGGAAUAUUUAAAUUCCACCAUAUCAUCAAUCUCUUAAUUUUUUUUUUUUUUUUUGAAGGGCCGCACCCAUGGCACAUAGAAGUUCCCAGGCUAGGGUUUGAAUUGGAGCUACAGCUGCCAGCCUAUGCCACAGCCACAGCAAUGUGGGAUCCAAGCCCCGUCUGUGACCUACACCACAGCUCACAGCAAAGCCAGAUCCUUAAUCCACUGAGGGAGGCCAGGGAUUGAACCCACAUCCUCAUGGAUACUAGUUGGGUUCUUUAACCGCUGAGCCUGAUGGGAACUCCAAUCUCCUAAUUAAUUUCUGUUUUAACUCAAUUCUGUCAUUUUAGUGUGAAAGUGGUCAUAGGCACUAUAUAAACAAAUUUUUUGUGUAUUCUGAUGAAGCUUUACUUACAAAACAGAUAGGAGGCCAAAUUUGCAGACCACUGGCCUAGAGUCUAAGAAAACAUGGCUAGCUCUGGGCCUGGGUUGAAUGUUGUGCUUCUGCAGACUCCUGGGCCCCAGGUUUGUGUGGGGCAGGAGAAGAAACACUCCCCGUUCUUUCAGUGUGUUUUUAUUUAUCAAAGAAGUUCCCAUUGUGGCUCAGCAGAAAUGAAUCUGACUAGCAUCGAAGGUUCGAUCUCUGGCCUCACUCAGUGGGUUAAAGAUCCAGCAUUGCCAUGAGCUGUGGUAUAGGUAGAAAACAGCUUGAAUCUGGCACUGUGGAUGUGGUGAGGGCCAGUGGCUACAGCUCUGAUUUGACCCCCAGCCUGGGAACCUCCAUAUGCUGUGGGUGUGGCUCUAAAAAGACAAAAGACAAAAAAAAAAAAAAAGAAAAGAAAAAGAAAGAAAGAAACCUUAUCGAGAUUUGACCCAGUGUUUUGUGUUGUGGUGAUUGCUAUAGUAGGUAAUGAGGGAGCGGAUGAAAUUGUUUCUGAAACAAGGAAUUUCGGGUGUCAAUGUGUAUUUCAUUUCUAGAGUAUUUCUGUCAUUUCUGCUUUAUGCCCUGGAUGUUCUAGAUCAUCGAAAGACUGGAAUUAAUCACUGUCAAACUGUGGAGAGAUAAAUUUAUUAUCUCAGAAGUCGUGGUAAAUUUGUGAGAUAGGGUGUUCCUAUUGUGGCUCAGGUUAAGACCCUGACAUAGUAUCAGUGAGGAUACGGGUUCAAUCUCUGGCCUUACUCAAUGGGUUAAGGAUCCAGCAUUGCCAUAAACUGCAGCAUAGAUUGCAGAUGCAGCUUGGUUCUGGUGUUGUGAUGGCUGUGGCAUAGUCUUGCAGCUGCAGCUCCAGUUCAAGCCCUAGCCCAGCAACUUCCAUAUGCCCCAGGUGCAGCC